Molecule: ribosomal RNA, 325 nt
Filed under: uncultured Anaerolineaceae bacterium
Lineage: Bacteria; Bacillati; Chloroflexota; Anaerolineae; Anaerolineales; Anaerolineaceae
Description: bacterial SSU rRNA
Rfam family: Bacterial small subunit ribosomal RNA
Source: RNAcentral
AUGGCUGUCGUCAGCUCGUGUCGUGAGAUGUUCGGUUAAGUCCGCUAACGAGCGCAACCCUCGCUGUGUGUUACAAGUGUCACACGGAACUGCCGGUCAUAAACCGGAGGAAGGUGGGGAUGACGUCAAGUCAGCAUGGCCUUUAUAUCCUGGGCUACACACACGCUACAAUGGGAAGGGACAAUAGGUUGCGAAGCCGCGAGGCGGAGCCAAUCCAGCAAAACUUCCCUCAGUUCAGAUUGCAGGCUGCAACCCGCCUGCAUGAAGUUGGAGUUGCUAGUAAACGCAGGUCAGCCAUACUGCGUUGAAUACGUUCCCGGGGCUU